CCUACGGGUGGCAGCAGUGGGGAAUAUUGCACAAUGGGCGCAAGCCUGAUGCAGCCAUGCCGCGUGUGUGAAGAAGGCCUUCGGGUUGUAAAGCACUUUCAGCGGGGAGGAAGGCGGUGAGGUUAAUAACCUCAUCGAUUGACGUUACCCGCAGAAGAAGCACCGGCUAACUCCGUGCCAGCAGCCGCGGUAAUACGGAGGGUGCAAGCGUUAAUCGGAAUUACUGGGCGUAAAGCGCACGCAGGCGGUCUGUCAAGUCGGAUGUGAAAUCCCCGGGCUCAACCUGGGAACUGCAUUCGAAACUGGCAGGCUAGAGUCUUGUAGAGGGGGGGUAGAAUUCCAGGUGUAGCGGUGAAAUGCGUAGAGAUCUGGAGGAAUACCGGUGGCGAAGGCGGCCCCCUGGACAAAGACUGACGCUCAGGUGCGAAAGCGUGGGGAGCAAACAGGAUUAGAUACCCUUGUAGUC
RNAcentral lists this ribosomal RNA (466 nucleotides) under uncultured Klebsiella sp. RNAcentral's name for it is "bacterial SSU rRNA". It matches the Rfam family "Bacterial small subunit ribosomal RNA", at positions 338 to 795 of the family's 1533-position model. Lineage: Bacteria; Pseudomonadati; Pseudomonadota; Gammaproteobacteria; Enterobacterales; Enterobacteriaceae. The record is from RNAcentral.